RNAcentral lists this long non-coding RNA (517 nucleotides) under Salmo salar (Atlantic salmon). RNAcentral describes it as "lncRNA (ENSSSAG00000096389.1)". Lineage: Eukaryota; Metazoa; Chordata; Actinopteri; Salmoniformes; Salmonidae. The record is from RNAcentral.
UUCCAAACGUGAUCUGAUUAUUGGGCUAUUGACCUCAUGAAAAUGGCGUCUGUCUAUCUUCAUUUUACUUUUUACACUUGACAUGCACUUUAAAGUCAGCGUGGAUAGGGCUUUCUGGAGACUGCUGUCCAGAUUAACUAUACAACUGCAAAUGUUCUGUAGCUCACUGUGACGUUUUUGAAUAGCAUAAGAGGAGUCAUCGAUACGCAUAUAAACAACAAUUAUUUGGGAGUCAGUCAGUCCAUUUCACAAGUGACGUUUUUCUUUUAAUAAUGGGUUCGAUGAAGAAGAUGUAGCAUGAUCGCGUUGAAUAAGGUGUUACCAUGGCUACUAUGGACACGCUGCUGCCUUUUCCUUGACAAUAACCCAGGUCGUGAUGUCCCACACCCGGUGCAUCGUGACGGUCUGGAGACAGAGCGCAACCACCAUCUGGGUAAGCACCUUCGUCUCUCUCACACACACACACACACACACACACACACACACACACACACACACACACACACGCACACGCACA